UUUACUGUAUGCAUAGACUCACGUAACUUCUAUUUCAGAUGAAAGUGUUUGACCUUUUCAUUUUUAAGAGGUGCUGCUUUUAUGCUAUUUCACGUUCCUUUUGCUAAAGAAGUAAAGUAACGUAAAUAAAAAAAUUGCUUACCAUAAGUCUAUUGAAAAUUCUGCCAGGGAAAAAACACCACCGUGAAAGUUUCGUGCUUGGCAUUAAUCCCUGCACUACUGACCCCAUUUCUUAUUUCUAGGAAACCCUUCUUUUACCCAUAUUCAGAAAGAAAGCCACAACACCGAAAUCCUCAGCCUCCCUCCCCAAGAAGCACUGCAGAUGUACGCAGCGUCUGCGCUCUACCUGUCGCUACAUUUGCGAGCAGGCUUUGCAAAGCAGCCACUUCUGGUGGUCCUAACGCUCCCCGUGCACAGCAAGUGAUACAAGACAAGCGGAGCAGCGAGGGCACUGCGUUGCUUUUGCUCUCCCUGCGGCAAGCCACUGGAAUUUCAUGAGAACGUAACACCACUUCACAGGCACACGGCUUCUCGGAGAGGCACAAGAAGAUUAGGUGGCUGUACGCACCACGCGCUCCCCGGAAUCACUUGCAGUUAGCUGCCGAGCUACGUCUCCGUCCUUCGGGAAGAGCCCAGGCCCACACGUCUCCAAUCCCUACCCAACCCAGAGCUUCUGCCUUCGGGUGGGUUUCGUGCCCCUUCCCCCGCAGCCCCCAGCGGUGGCAACAGCAGAGCCGAGCUGCCCAAGGCGCGGAGCCCUGCAAGCUCAGACUUUCCACCGAGCGGGCCCGGCAGAUUCCGCAGCCGGCCCUCAGCCCCAAACGACCGACAUAAUUAUAACCCCGCCGAGCCCUGCUCCCUCUCUGCGACUCCUGCCAGACCCUCAGCCUGCUCCCUCAGCCCGCCGAAGCCGUGGCCCUCCCUCGUGGUAAGCCUUUUGGCCACGAGACCCAAUUCCUAAAGCGCUGUGCAAGCGCUGGCCAGCGAUGGUGUGACAGCACCAGGCCGGCCCCUCGCUACAAUCCUGAUGGUUAUGGAUGGGAAGCACAGCAUUAGGAUAUGAAGUGCCGUCCCUCCCUGCCACAACAGGAUACAUCGCAUUACCCCAGGCCAGCCCCCCAUCCCUCCAACAAUGACAGCAAACGGCAGGUUUAGGUUUUCAGGCACAGCUGCUGCUCAUCCCAGCCCGGGCACCAGAUGCCCAGGGAGCCUUUCCCAGCAGGGACCCUUAAGGAGGAGAGCUGCAGAAGGAAAGCCGCGGCCCCGAGGAGCAACACGCCUGAUCCUUGCCUCCCUGUUACAGGUCAUUGGUCACAUAAGCCGAAAUCCCUCCCAGCACGAUUCCUGCAUCCCAUAAAACUCCAUUCACGAGCAUAUGCUUUAGAUCCACACCAGCAGCUGGGCUACGAAAGGUAUCCUGCACACGCUGAGCAGGUCGUUUCUGGGUAGCUACCUCCAUCUAGGGGAAAGGCAGCGUACUGCCUGAAAGCCAGCAGUAGAAAACCAAGGCUGGUGCUAUUCAUACGGGAGGUCAUCAAACAAAACAGAUGGCAUUAAUAUCUCUCUGGCUCUGCUGGCCGUGCCAGUCCACCGCCGACCUCCUCACGGGCUGGGGAGAACAACCGCCUUUCAGUUCCAGCAGCUACAACAAUUUGCCUUUUAUCUCAGACAGGGGAAAAAAAAAGAAUAAAGAUUUCCUCUUUGAACAAGAAAUAAAAAACACGAAUUCAAUAGCUGACUGAAUCUCAUUGCCUAUUCUUAGAUCCCAGUGUUAACUCUUUUCCUUGUUUACGAGGCUUGCGGGCCAGGGCCAUCCUCAGCAAUAGCUCACUGUUGCAUCUACUUGUGUAAAACUUGGAUCAACAUCCGCCCGGAGAGAUGUGGCACCCGGCCAGCCCGGACACAGAGCCAGCAGGAGCAGGAGCAAAGGCGGCCCCAGUGUUCGGCUGGUUUUGGUAGAAGGCACAUGGAAAGGAACCUUGAGGGGGCAACAGCAAAUGCUAUGUGACUAUGUACGUGUCUUCUCUCUUUGGUGCAUAGGGACACAUUGCAACGCAGGUGUUUUAAUCACUCCAAAAAACUGCAAGGAGCAUUUUCACUAUUUGCACAAUUUUUUACAAUUCUAUGUAUAUUUGUCUGGGUGAUGACAGCAGAUCACUUCGUUUUGUAUGCAGACAGUAGCAGCAACUCAAAAUGCAAACCUCCUGAGGGGCCUCUGUCACUUAAAAAGCAAACU
Long non-coding RNA from Cygnus olor (mute swan), 2236 nucleotides. RefSeq lists it as uncharacterized. Lineage: Eukaryota; Metazoa; Chordata; Aves; Anseriformes; Anatidae. The record is from RefSeq and is a predicted model, not a curated record. The transcript is spliced from 3 exons.